AGUGAACGCUGGCGGUAGGCCUAACACAUGCAAGUCGAACGGCAGCACAGUAAGAGCUUGCUCUUACGGGUGGCGAGUGGCGGACGGGUGAGGAAUACAUCGGAAUCUACUUUUUCGUGGGGGAUAACGUAGGGAAACUUACGCUAAUACCGCAUACGACCUACGGGUGAAAGCAGGGGAUCUUCGGACCUUGCGCGAUUGAAUGAGCCGAUGUCGGAUUAGCUAGUUGGCGGGGUAAAGGCCCACCAAGGCGACGAUCCGUAGCUGGUCUGAGAGGAUGAUCAGCCACACGGGAAGUGAGACACGGUCCAUACUCCUACGGGAGGCAGCAGUGGGGAAUAUUGGACAAUAGGCGCAAGCCUGAUCCAGCCAUACCGCGUGGGUGAAGAAGGCCUUCGGGUUGUAAAGCCCUUUUGUUGGGAAAGAAAAGCAGCAGGUUAAUACCCAGCUGUUCUGACGGUACCCAAAGAAUAAGCACCGGCUAACUUCGUG
This 492-nucleotide ribosomal RNA is filed under the name uncultured bacterium. RNAcentral describes it as "partial 16S ribosomal RNA". It matches the Rfam family "Bacterial small subunit ribosomal RNA", at positions 29 to 507 of the family's 1533-position model. The record is from RNAcentral.